RNAcentral lists this ribosomal RNA (317 nucleotides) under uncultured bacterium. Its description in RNAcentral is "bacterial SSU rRNA". It matches the Rfam family "Bacterial small subunit ribosomal RNA", at positions 28 to 334 of the family's 1533-position model. The record is from RNAcentral.
GACGAACGCUGGCGGCGCGCCUAACACAUGCAAGUCGAACGGAGUUGUGUUGAAAGCUUGCUGGAUAUACAACUUAGUGGCGGACGGGUGAGUAACACGUGAGUAACCUGCCUCUCAGAGUGGAAUAACGUUUGGAAACGAACGCUAAUACCGCAUGACGUCAUAGGACCGCAUGGUCUAGUGAUCAAAGGAGCAAUCCGCUGAAAGAUGGACUCGCGUCCGAUUAGCUAGUUGGUGAGAUAAAGGCCCACCAAGGCGACGAUCGGUAGCCGGACUGAGAGGUUGAACGGCCACAUUGGGACUGAGACACGGCCCAG